Molecule: non-coding RNA, 24 nt
Filed under: Arabidopsis thaliana (thale cress)
Lineage: Eukaryota; Viridiplantae; Streptophyta; Magnoliopsida; Brassicales; Brassicaceae
Source: RNAcentral
AUGCAAAAGGACUCUCCAAAUGAU